GACGUAGGGCGCGAGCGUUGUCCGGAUUUAUUGGGCGUAAAGAGCUCGUAGGCGGCUUGUCGCGUCGACUGUGAAAACCCGUGGCUCAACCAUGUGGUCUGCAGUCGAUACGGGCAGGCUAGAAUUCGGUAGGGGAGACUGGAAUUCCUGGUGUAGCGGUGGAAUGCGCAGAUAUCAGGAGGAACACCAAUAGCGAAGGCAGCUCGCUGGGACGGUAUUGACGCUAAGGCGCGAAAGCGUGGGGAGCAAACAGG
Molecule: ribosomal RNA, 254 nt
Filed under: uncultured bacterium
Lineage: Bacteria
Description: partial 16S ribosomal RNA
Rfam family: Bacterial small subunit ribosomal RNA
Source: RNAcentral